UGCAAGUCGAGCGGACAGAUGGGAGCUUGCUCCCUGAUGUUAGCGGCGGACGGGUGAGUAACACGUGGGUAACCUGCCUGUAAGACUGGGAUAACUCCGGGAAACCGGGGCUAAUACCGGAUGGUUGUUUGAACCGCAUGGUUCAAACAUAAAAGGUGGCUUCGGCUACCACUUACAGAUGGACCCGCGGCGCAUUAGCUAGUUGGUGAGGUAACGGCUCACCAAGGCAACGAUGCGUAGCCGACCUGAGAGGGUGAUCGGCCACACUGGGACUGAGACACGGCCCAGACUCCUACGGGAGGCAGCAGUAGGGAAUCUUCCGCAAUGGACGAAAGUCUGACGGAGCAACGCCGCGUGAGUGAUGAAGGUUUUCGGAUCGUAAAGCUCUGUUGUUAGGGAAGAACAAGUACCGUUCGAAUAGGGCGGUACCUUGACGGUACCUAACCGGAAAGCCACGGCUAACUACGUGCCAGCAGCCGCGGUAAUACGUAGGUGGCAAGCGUUGUCCGGAAUUAUUUGGGCGUAAAGGGCUCGCAGGCGGUUUCUUAAGUCUGAUGUGAAAGCCCCCGGCUCAACCGGGGAGGGUCAUUG
This 591-nucleotide ribosomal RNA is filed under the name Bacillus sp. (in: firmicutes). Its description in RNAcentral is "bacterial SSU rRNA". It matches the Rfam family "Bacterial small subunit ribosomal RNA", at positions 56 to 628 of the family's 1533-position model. Lineage: Bacteria; Bacillati; Bacillota; Bacilli; Caryophanales; Bacillaceae. The record is from RNAcentral.